CCCCCAGCGCUGCGGGCGCGGGCCGACCAGGCGACCGCCGGCGCACCGAGAUUCAGAACCUGAGGACGACAUAAACGCAAGACCACCGCUGGAAGGCCCAGAAGAAGGGAAGAUAGUGCCCCAGGCCUCACGUGAGCCAACUGGACCCAAAAUGGCAGAACUGUCAGACCUCUGCCCAGGAGACAGUCCCUGCCAAGGACCAGCACCCGGGGUGGCCUGUGCCCAGGACACCCACCCAGUCCCAAGAGGCCUGGCCCACGUAAAGGACGACCGCCUGGCCGGGGGCUCUGGGCCUCCCCCAGAAGCCAGCAGCUCGGCCGGCCGCCCUGUGUCUCAUGCAUGCAAGUCGGCCUCACCCAGGAGACCCGGGAGCCCCCGAGCGGCCUGCGGGUCGAUGAGGCCCCUCGCCCUUCAUGCACCAUGGGGUCAGGUCCCCGGUGUGUGCAGAGUCCACCAGGCAGAGUUCCUGGAGGAAGCGGCCACAGAGAGACUCCAACCAAAGCGCACACUCUGUCCACAAGCUGCUCUCUCCAGCCGAUGGGCCACAGAAACACUGGGGGAGGCGAAGACCCAAGCCAGAUGCCAGGCCCCUUGGCCUCCACUGGCUGGUGACCUCCCUGCCCCUGCACGCCCUCCGGGAGGUCUGGCUUCCCCCUCACAGCCCCGGGCUCCCCAGGAGAACGUGCGUCUGCGACAGAGCCCCGGCUCGGCCCCUGCCUCUUGGGACAGGCGAGGCUCAGCCCUUCCAUGCAGCCCUCUCAGACCCCGUGACAGCCAUGGGUCCCAGCCAAUGGCAGCCCCCCACUAAGUGUGACACAGACACGUAGCCUCUGGGGACAGGAGCGCCUGGUGGCCAGCAAGCCUGGGAACACGGCUGUCCUGGCUGGGCUGCCUGGGCAGCGGCCCCGGAGAAUGGGGCCAUGGCCAUGCCUCCAUGUCCUUGUUCGCACGGGGCCACGGGCAGGCAGGAUGCCCGGCCCACGCUGCCCCUCACUCUGCUGGUGGCCGUGGCUGCCUUGGCGGGUCGGCCCGACGGUGAACAGUGAGAAUGACAGCAGAAGCACAUCGGGGCACGUGUGGCCGCCCACCCCAGAGAGCGGGACGGAGGCCCAGGUCUCUCCCUGUACGUCCCUGGGAGCUGGCCCCUUCCGUCACCACUGGAGGCUGUGGGCAGUCCCCGACUGCGGCCUGCGUUGGGGACAGGGACUCAAGGCUGCACACGGACCCCAUCCACAUCCCACGGACCUGCGACCUGGCGCUUUCAGAAGCUCUCAGUGAAGUACAGGGUCCCCCCAAGUGAGGUAUUGCAUUGGCUAACGCAGUUCUCGGAUCCGGGCCGGGCCAGACCCCCGACCCCACAGCCUCCACGGCUCACACCUGCACCAUGAGGCCCAUCUCCAGGGUCCACAAGAGGACGCCGAGGCUCGGAGAGGUGACCUGACUGCCACGGUGCCCUGCAGGACGAACGGAUACAGCUGGCCGGGGUUUCCGGGAAGACAGCGUCUCCGGGCGUGGCGAACACCUGAGCACCAGCCAGUGGGACGUAAGGGUCAGAUUGGCCGCGUGUGACCACAGUGCCAAAGCCUGCAGGACAAGGUAAGGAGCGCGAGGGGUGUGGGGGUCGGGGGCCGUGGCUGCCAAAACCCACUACUGACCACUAUUGAGAAAACGUCGGCUGUCCCCACCCUCAUCUGGGGAGACGGCCUACAUUGACAGGCUUUCUGUGGGUGCUGGCCGCGGGGACGGACGGGGGCCACACAGAGACAGGCCAGGGGCGAGGCAGGGGACCUGGCUGGAGCCUUCUUGACCAGCUGCCCGGACCCACUACCAAAGCCCAGCCGCGACGGAGCAACGCCCUGGCGAGGAGGACAAGCUGUGGUCUGAGCUGUGGAACGAAGCAGAGCCACGCGUGGACCAUAGGCCGCGGCGGGUGGCGCGGAGCUGGCGGGUGGCGGAAAGAGGCCGGCCUGUCCCUGAGGCCGAGCCAGCCUGCGUAUCCAGUGGGGAGAACGCGAACCUUGACCCCAGCCUCACACUGGAUGCAGACAUCGAUUCCAGAUGGAAUCUACGUGCGGCAGGUGGGCUCACGAAGCUUUAGGACAAGCCAGCGGAUCUUUAUGACCUCGGAGUAGUCCAGGUCUCUUUAAUAGGACGCAGGCAGCACGGGCCAGAAGGGAAACGUCUGAUGAACCGGGUCCCGUUGAGUCCACCUGCGGUUCCCCUGCUCAGCAGAGACGCCCCUCGUGAGAGGAAGGGCCGGCCCGCGGCAGGGCGGGGCGGGACGGGGCGGUGCUUCUGCGGUGGACGCGCCGCGAGCGUGUGCGGGCACGCGGGGGCACGCUCGGCUCAGCUCCCCACGAGCCCUCCCCGGGACACAGGAGACAGACCGAGGGAGGACAGAGCAUGUGUAAAUCGGCGAGGAGGGCUCGCCCCACGUCCGACGGGCCGGAGACGCGAGCAUUUUGGCAAGACAACAUCUGACCCAAUAACACUGGGAGGGGUGCGGCAGCCGCGUCCAGUCCCCACAGACGACGAUGCCAGGCUGAUGGCGCGAGGGUGCCCUCACAAGCCGUGCCUGCGGGCUGGCGGCUGGGCGGGACCGGGGAAAGCGUGUGCGCCCCUCCUGCGCCCCCACACCUAGGCCGAUGCGCGCCGAAGUGCAGCCUGUACGGCGGCCAGAAAGCCUGGACGGGGCGUUAGCGCGGACGCUAGCAGCCCGCCUGGACGCACGGUCCACGGGCCGUCGACACGAGAACGGAUAAACCGUGCCGCCCUUCCCACGCCGGUGUGCCAGUCCCGGGGCACGAGGAGCACCGCUCUCUGCGACCCCGUGCACGCCUCCCGGGGAGCCAGACGGAUGCAGGGGUGUGCGCACCGGGGCGUCUGUCUAUGGAAAGUUCCAGAACGGGCAACACCAAGUGCUGCUGCCAGAAGCCAAGACGGGGGCGGCCGUCUGAAGGCGUGACAGGAAGUGGGAGCACGGGGGCAUCCCGGCUACCCUCACGCGGCCGGUGCUGAGACGGACGCUCAUCGCCUGUGGCCCACUCCUCAGCCGGAACGCUGAAAUGCCCUACGGGCAAGGACAGGCCUUCUGGGCUUAACGGGAGAGCUGGACGGCCCAGGCCUAGAGAGGGGCUGGGCCUGGCCCCCCACUUAGGCUUCCUGGCCAUGCUGCCCUCGGGCCCCCCUCCUUAUAGGUUUAGGCCUGUGGGGGACCCACAACCCCCGGAAAUGUCUCUGUGGCAACACCGGUGCCCUCUGUGAAGUCGUGUUUUCCUCCAGCUGCCUCUAGGGUAUGGAUGCCGCUCCAUCCCUCAUACCCUCCGACACUGCCCCUUGCCAUAGCCCUGCCCAUGGGGACUGAGCCCUGACGCACAGACGCCCUGGACCGGGAUUUAUGGCUACAGCUGCUGAAGGAGUACAAGGCCCCCCACUUCCUCCGGGCCUUCUACCUGGACCGAGGGCCCGCUCCCCGGAGCCACGGCCUCAGGAGUCUGGCGGCAUCCUCCUCCCGUGUUCAGACGCAGGAAGUGAGGCUCCCAGAGGUUAGGGGCCCCCGGGGCCAGCCUGCAGCUGGGCCGGUGCGGGCUCAGGGCCAGAUGGAGGGCAUCUGAUUCCCAGUCCUGUCUCUUUCCCACUGAGCCACUCCGCCUCGCUUUUAAUUCAAUUAGGAGAACAUUUAAUCCCCCCGUGCAUUUCAGAGUCGAGCUGGAGCUGGCCGGGGCUGGGAGGCUCCGAUGGGGCCUGUGACUCACGCAGCCCCUUACAGCCCCCCGGGCGGGCUCCCACGGGGCUCCCUUGUCACCUCGUGCAGACAGAGGUGGUCUGGAGCUCCAGCAAAGACAGGACACCGGUCUGAAAAGACACACUGGUCUCAUCUGUUCCUGGCAACCCCCACCCCCAUCCCCAGACGCGGGCCCCGAGUGGCCUUCAGACUUUCCCACCAAGGUUCGCAGGGUGAGAAGCAGAGCAAGGAGCAUGGCCACUCGGCGAGGCGUGGAGCCUGGCGCUUCUGUUGGCCUCAGGAGGGAGCUGCAGCAGGCCCCAGGGUCCCCAAAACAUCCCAGCCGAGCCGGGCCCAUCCCGAGAUCUGGCCCCCCGGUCCACGGAACUGAGCACAGGGCAGAGCCUGGUGACAUUUGCCCCCAUUUCCAGAAGGCACGGGGCUGGCCAUGGCCUCGCUGACAACGCAGAAUUCAGGAGACGUUAGUGGUGAUGUGGAGGAAAGCCAGGCCACAGCGGCCUUGUUGGAAAAGACACACUUGAGCGUUCUGGCAGGAGACUCCGUGGGGCCCGGGAGACAGCCGGAGACGUGGAGAUUCUAAUCAACGCACGCGGAGCUGGGUUUGCUCAAGGAUGCGCAGGCUGUCCUGUCACGGGGCCUACAGGCUCAAGUUGCCGGGGAGGUGCUCAUGGUCACCUUGUGGGGGUCCCCACGGUGCCCCCACCCCGGCCUUGCCUUCCCUCAGCCUCCCUUCUCUGGAAGGCUCCUGGCCUGCCCCGGGACCAUGCAGAUGCCCAGGGCAUCAGGCUCUGCACACCCCCGGCGGAGGAGGACGGGGUGGGGCGGCUAGUAAGCAGGAGCCAGGCCUCGCCCAGCCACGACGCUGCCAGGACGGAGAGACAAGGGGGGGUCCAGGCAUCAAUCCCGGGGAACACUAGGCCGCAGUAUUCAUUGCGGGCCUGGCCUCUCGCACCAUCUGCCUGGGGUGUUCAUGUCACCCAAAGGGACGGAUGUGGACUCCCGGCUGGGCUUGGCUGCCGUGGCAGCUAGGUGGCGGCAGGCGGGGAGCUUCAUAGACUUGGCUGCCAUCUCCCAAGGCUGCUGGGACAGGGUACCCAGGCCUCCCCUAUACGCAGACCCAACCAGAGCCACAGAUCCCCGUGCUGAGGCCAGUUCUGACCAGCCCCACCCUGCCCUGCCCAGGCCCUUGCCACCUUGUCUCAGGUGAGGCUUGCCUGGCCCUGGGGAAAUCCAGCCUGCCUUGGGGCAGGAGCCACAGUCCUGGACCUCUUUCUGGCCAGGGGCUCCAAAAGAGCCAGAGAGGGUGGGACCCCGUGCUGAGGGCCGAGGCAGCUGGUACAGAGGCCCUGGCAGCCGGAGGAGGACAUGCUGCCUGGGCCUCCCUGGGGCGAGGCCGGCGGAUGAGUCCGAUGGGUGCCGAUGAGUGACGAGGCAGUUUCCGAAAGGGACACCACGUGCAGGGCACAGGGGCGCACACAGAGGUGGCCCUCUGUUCCUACUGUCCCACCACUGGCUCUCCAUGGGCAGAAGGCAGUGGGGUGGGGAGGAGCCCGGGAACUCAUCCCCGCUCCCGCUGGGCUGCGGGGCUCCGUCUUCUCUUGGCUCUCCCAGAUGCCCCGUCUCUACCUUACACUUGCCCCUCGGAAGCCCUGUGGCAAGGCUCUGGGUGAGGGGGACACAGGUGCUGAGAGCUCCAGGCAGAGAGGGGCUCUGGAAAGGUGUGUGUGUCAGGCUGCGGCCCAGCACCCUGGAGCUGGGCGAGGGCCCCAGGGCUGCAGCGAGACGCUGGGGCUUGCUCAUGGGGCCAAGACCACUCUGCCUCCCCAAGCCAUGGGGUCCCAGUGACUCCCAGUUUGCACCCGGCUUGCUCGCCGGCCCCCCCGGCACCCCCCACCCCUGCCCCACCAAUGGCCAGCAGGCCCCGGAAAGAAGAGCUUCGCCCAGCCCCAGGGACCUUCCCGUAAUCAAGGCUGCAGUGACCUCACCUCCCUGGGGCCCAGCGGGUGGGGAGAGCUUGAGAUGGAAACAAAAUGUGUCUUUAUUUAUGCUUUUAAUUUGAAUUCUGGAACUGACCCAACGUGGUAAUACACUUAACCUCAGUAAAAUGCUGAAGAAAAAUGAA
Molecule: long non-coding RNA, 5867 nt
Organism: Neogale vison (American mink)
Lineage: Eukaryota; Metazoa; Chordata; Mammalia; Carnivora; Mustelidae
Exons: 3
Source: RefSeq, a predicted model, not a curated record